Molecule: ribosomal RNA, 121 nt
Filed under: Solanum tuberosum (potato)
Lineage: Eukaryota; Viridiplantae; Streptophyta; Magnoliopsida; Solanales; Solanaceae
Source: RNAcentral
GGAUGUGAUCAUACUAGCACACUAACGCACCAAAUCCCAUAAAAACUCCAAAGUUAAUCGUGUUUGGGCGAGAGCAGGACUAGGAUGGGCUACCCACUAGGAAGUCAUCAUGUUGCAUCCC